UAUUUAAAGGUUUCCCUGUCAAGUGACUUUGGGUUUCGAUUAUUGGGUGAUUACGGAUUGCAUAAUUUAGAAAAAGGGUCACAGGGUAUACGAGGAUCAUAGAAAGCAAACAACUGCAAUCUUCUUUAUCUUUUUCUUUUGCUUGUCUUCUUAAGCCAUCACCCUGUUUUUUGCAUUGCACUUGCUCCACUGUGAUUGGUUGUGAUCGGAGUCACUCUGUUUUGUUGAAUUAUAGUUGGGUGUCUGGUAUGGAAUUGGGUAUGUCUUGUUUUUUAGGGCUUCUUGAUGUUUGUCUGUGAAACGAUAUGAGUUUAUUUUCCCUAUUUCUGUUAUAGUGAUUGAAGUUCAAUCACUACAUUGUAUCUCUAAACAGCAACGUUUUAUUCUUUCUCAUGAAAGAAAGACGGGCCGAGCCAUUCAGAUUCACAAGCCACAGCAUGAUGUUUCAAGGUUGAACAUGAUUGGUGACAGUGUUGGUAAGGUAUGAGCAUCCUGGCAGAAAACUGGACUGGAUUAUAUAGAUUGUAUUAGUAUUGUUAUCAUUAAUGUGAUGCACAUAAUGGGGUUUCUAAUUUGACAAAUUAUGUGAUUACUACAUUAUUAAUAUGGUCAGAGAGGAGCUCAGUACUAUAGGCAAUAGAUGGAAAAGCCCUAAAACAUCAUGUUAUAGAUAUUGUGGGUUCACUAGCCUCUAAUGAAUUUGACAUUUGACUCCAUCAUUGCCCAAUCAUUGCUUGAUUGAUAAAUAAUGCUAUCAAUCCAUAUGACUCUAGUUAAGGCCAUAUUUGUGUCAAGGAUUCGUAGGUUAUGGUAAAUCUUCUAUCAAGUCUUAUUAACAGAAAGGUUGUGUAUGGAGAGAUGUUUCCCUUGUGAAGCUAAAACGGGCCUGAAUGAAGUUCGUGCUCUAUUUCUGAUAUUUACGAAGCUGCCAACAUGGAAGCUGAAGCCCUGCAUGGUGAACACCUGCAAGGGAUAAUCUCUGCCAAUGCUGCAGGGAUAAUCUUCGCAUUUUGGACAGGAAGGGAUAAUCUCUGCCAAUAAUGAAUCUCAAUCACUGCAUUGUCUCUCUAAACAGCAAUGUUUUAUUCUUUCUCAUGAAAGAUGGGCCGAGCCAUUCAGAUUCACAAGCCAUAGCAUGAUGUUUCAAGGUGGAACAUGAUUGGUGACAGUGUUGGUAAGGUAUGAGCAUCCUGGCAGAAAACUGGAUUGGAUUAUAUAGACUGUAUUAGUAUUGUUAUCAUUAAUGUGAUGCACAUAGUGGAUUUUCUAAUUUGACAAAUACUGUGAUUACUACAUCAUUAAUAUGGUCAGGAGAGGAGCUUAGUACAAUAGGCAAUAGAUGGAAAAGCCCUAAAACAUCAUGUUAUAGAUAUUGUGUGUUAACUAGCCUCUAAUGAAUUUGUAUUUGAUCCAAUCAUUUCCCAAUCAUUGCUUGAUUGAUAAAUAAUGCUAUCAAAUCAUAUGACUCUAGUUAAGGCCAUAUUUGUGGCAAGGAUUUAUAGGGUAUGGUAAAUCUUCUAUCAAGUCUUAUUAACAGAAAGGUUGUGUAUGGGAGAGAUGUUUCCCUUGUGAAGCUAAAACCAGGAAUUCAUAUUAUUUCAAGGCACUAAUAGUUGAAGAAAAGAUUCUGCGGGAGUUUUGAGCUUGCCAUUGAAUUUUGAUACUCCCAUGUGCGUAUAGACUAUAGUAAUUAAUAGAUAUGCAUGCCAUUACUUGUUAAGCUGUUUUAGCUUCUUUAACACAUUGGACUUAGCACUCUAGAAAUAUUUCAAGAUAUGUAAAUUGCAUAA
Cryptomeria japonica (Japanese cedar) is the source of this 1790-nucleotide long non-coding RNA. RefSeq lists it as uncharacterized. Lineage: Eukaryota; Viridiplantae; Streptophyta; Pinopsida; Cupressales; Cupressaceae. The transcript is spliced from 3 exons. The record is from RefSeq and is a predicted model, not a curated record.